Molecule: ribosomal RNA, 439 nt
Filed under: uncultured bacterium
Lineage: Bacteria
Description: partial 16S ribosomal RNA
Rfam family: Bacterial small subunit ribosomal RNA
Source: RNAcentral
CUACGGGUUGCACCAGUGAGGAAUAUUGCACAAUGGGGGGAACCCUGAUGCAGCAACGCCGCGUGGAGGAUGACGCAUUUCGGUGUGUAAACUCCUUUUAUAUGUCAAGAAAAUGACGGUAGCAUAUGAAUAAGCACCGGCUAACUCCGUGCCAGCAGCCGCGGUAAUAGGGAGGGUGCAAGCGUUACUCGGAAUCACUGGGCGUAAAGGACGCGUAGGCGGGUUGGAAAGUCAGGUGUGAAAUCCUACAGCUUAACUGUAGAACUGCACUUGAAACUACGAGCCUAGAGUAUGGGAGGGGGAGAUGGAAUUAGUGGUGUAGGGGUAAAAUCCGUAGAUAUCACUAGGAAUACCUAAAGCGAAGGCGAUCUCCUGGAACAUAACUGACGCUAAGGCGUGAAAGCGUGGGGAGCAAACAGGAUUAGAUACCCUCGUAGUC